GACGAACGCUGGCGGCGUGCUUAACACAUGCAAGUCGAACGGAAAGGCCCUGCUUUUGUGGGGUGCUCGAGUGGCGAACGGGUGAUUAACACGUGAGUAACCUGCCCUUGACUUUGGGAUAACUUCAGGAAACUUGGGCUAAUACCGGAUAGGAGCUCCUGCUGCAUGGUGGGGUUUGGAAAGUUUCUGCGGUUGGGGAUGGACUCGCUGGUUAUCAGCUUGUUGGUGGGGUAGUGGCUUACCAAGGCUUUGACGGGUAGCCGGCCUGAGAGGGUGACCGGCGACAUUGGGACUGAGAUAGGGACCAGAGUGCAACGGGAGGCAGCAGUGGGAAAUAUUGCACAGUGGGGGGAAGCCUGAGGCAGAAACGCCGCGUGCGGGAUGACGGCAUUCGGGUUGUAAAACGCUUUCGCCUGAGACGAAGCGUGAGUGACGGUAAUGGGUAAAGAAGCACCGGCUAACUACGUG
This 468-nucleotide ribosomal RNA is filed under the name uncultured bacterium. RNAcentral's name for it is "partial 16S ribosomal RNA". It matches the Rfam family "Bacterial small subunit ribosomal RNA", at positions 28 to 507 of the family's 1533-position model. The record is from RNAcentral.